GACGAACGCUGGCGGCGUGCCUAAUACAUGCAAGUAGAACGCUGAAGAGAGGAGCUUGCUCUUCUUGGAUGAGUUGCGAACGGGUGAGUAACGCGUAGGUAACCUGCCUUGUAGCGGGGGAUAACUAUUGGAAACGAUAGCUAAUACCGCAUAACAAUGGAUGACACAUGUCAUUUAUUUGAAAGGGGCAAUUGCUCCACUACAAGAUGGACCUGCGUUGUAUUAGCUAGUAGGUGAGGUAAUGGCUCACCUAGGCGACGAUACAUAGCCGACCUGAGAGGGGGAUCGGCCACCCUGGGAAUUAGACCAGGCCCGGACCCCCACGGGGGGCAGCGGGGGGGAAACUUCGGCAAUGGGGGCAACCCUGACCGGGCAACGCCGCGGGGGGGAAGAAGGUGUUGGGAUCGUAAAGCUUUGUUGUAAGGGGAGAACGGGUGGGAGGGGGGAAAGUUCAAACUGUGACGGUGGUUUACCAAAAAGGGACGGCUAACUACGU
This 496-nucleotide ribosomal RNA is filed under the name uncultured bacterium. RNAcentral's name for it is "partial 16S ribosomal RNA". It matches the Rfam family "Bacterial small subunit ribosomal RNA", at positions 28 to 506 of the family's 1533-position model. The record is from RNAcentral.